UACGAAGGGGGCUAGCGUUGCUCGGAAUCACUGGGCGUAAAGGGUGCGUAGGUGGUGGAGUAAGUUUGAUGUGAAAUCUCCGGGCUUAACCCGGAAACUGCAUUGAAUACUAUUUUGCUGGAGGUUUGGAGGGGGGACUGGAAUUCUCGGUGUAGCAGUGAAAUGCGUAGAUAUCGAGAGGAACACCAGUGGCGAAGGCGAGUCCCUGGACAACACCUGACACUGAGGCACGAAAGCUAGGGGAGCAAACAGG
RNAcentral lists this ribosomal RNA (253 nucleotides) under uncultured bacterium. RNAcentral describes it as "partial 16S ribosomal RNA". It matches the Rfam family "Bacterial small subunit ribosomal RNA", at positions 524 to 776 of the family's 1533-position model. The record is from RNAcentral.